This 1232-nucleotide ribosomal RNA is filed under the name Tuxedo flavicollis. RNAcentral's name for it is "16S ribosomal RNA". The stretch from base 807 to 1162 matches the Rfam family "Archaeal large subunit ribosomal RNA", at positions 2155 to 2712 of the family's 2987-position model. Lineage: Eukaryota; Metazoa; Arthropoda; Insecta; Hemiptera; Miridae. The record is from RNAcentral.
UAUUUUUUAAUUAAAUAUUUUUAGGUUUAUUAUUUAAUAAAAAUAAUUUUUAUUUAAGUAUCUUUAAGAAAUAAAUAUGAAUUUUAUAGGGGAUAGUACUGUGAAGGAAUUGUAUUUAAUAUAUUUGAAGUAAUUAUGUUUUUUUUACCUUUUGUAUCAGGGUUUAUUUAAUUUGUUAAUUUAUUUUUUCUUUCUCGAAAUUUCAAGAGCUAUAUUCUUAUGUUAUUUAAUGUUACAAUAUUUUUUGGGAUAGGAUUAUAGGGAAUAGAUUUUAUUCAAUUGACAAUAUCUAGUUUUUUAAGAUAUGGGUUUAAUCCAUAAAUAAAUUUAUUUAUUUACUUACUUGAUUUUGAUUUAUUUAUAUAUAAUAAAGGAUAAGCUUUUUUAUAAUUCUAUAAUUAUGUAUUUCAUUAUUUUUUGUAGGGAUAGUAAUUUCCAUCUUUUAUUUUGUAAAAAUUAUUUUUGUAAUGUUUUUUAUUUUUUUGUUUUUAGAUUAUUAUUAAAAUAAAUAGAAUAAUUCUUAUUUUGUUGAAAAAAUGAUAAAAUUAGUAUUUUUAAAAAAUAAAUUAUAGUAAUUCGGCAAAUAUAAAUUUCACCUGUUUAACAAAAACAUGGUCUUUUGUUUAUAUAAAAGAUCUGGCCUGCCCCAUGUUAUUAAAUGGCUGCAGUAUAUUGACUGUACAAAGGUAGCAUAAUCACUUGUCUCUUAAUUGGAGUCUGGAAUGAAUGGUUGGAUGAAAAUUUUUCUUUCUUUAUUUUUUACAAAAAAUUUAAUCUUUAAAUUAAAAAGUUUAAAUAUUUAUAUAGGACGAGAAGACCCUAUAGAACUUUAUUCCCCUAAAAUAAUUAUUUUUUUGAAAAUAAUUUUUUAUUAUUUAAUGGGGAAUUUUGUUGGGGUGACAAAAAAAAUUUUAUAACUUUUUUUAUUUUUUUCAUUUAUAUAUGUAUUUUUGAUCCUUUAUUAUGGAUAAUAUGAUUAAGUUACCUUAGGGAUAACAGCGUUAUUGUUUUAGAGAGUUCAUAUUGAUAAAGCAGUUUGCGACCUCGAUGUUGGAUUAAAAUUAGUCUCAGGGGCAGAAUAUUGGUUGACUGGGUCUGUUCGACCUUUAAAUUUUUACAUGAUCUGAGUUCAGACCGGCGUGAGCCAGGUUGGUUUCUAUCCUUAUUUUUCUGGAAAGCUUUAGUACGAGAGGACCAUGCUUUGGGAAUAUUUUUUUGGCUUUGAUUAUUUU